Chrysemys picta bellii (western painted turtle) is the source of this 1499-nucleotide long non-coding RNA. RefSeq lists it as uncharacterized. The record is from RefSeq and is a predicted model, not a curated record. NCBI's taxonomy places the organism in Eukaryota, Metazoa, Chordata, Testudines, Emydidae.
UAUACACCUUAUGUAGAUGCCUGUGACAUGAUAGACUAGAUCCGGAGGCCCCCUGCUGGAGGCCUCAUGGCCCUUCCACAUCCUACCCCAGAAAAGGGCAGUAGAGAGGUCUUCCAAGCUACCUAGAGUGGCUGUAUGGGAAGCAGCCAAUCAGGGCCAUGCAGGCUAGUAUAAGAAGAGCUGCAGGGGCAGCAGGUGUUCAGUUCCUUGCUGGAGCUGGUGGAGUGUGGAUGGUGUGCCUGGCUGAGAGAGCUACAGGACACUGGACAAAGCAGUGCUGGCAGUGGCUGGGGGAACCAUAAAGGACUGGUUGCUGAGACUCAACCAGGACAAGACCAUGAGGUGUUGGGACCUGCUACAUGGGUUUGCAGCACCGCUCUGGUUUGGUUCCACUACCCUUCUGCCAUGAUGAUGAGGUGGGGAGGGCCAGUUUGAGCGAGUGGCUCUCCAAUGUUGCGUGCCAGGUCACAACACCUGGGAUGGGCAGCCAGGCCCAGUCCCAUGGGACGGAGACUCUGCUGAAUGUACAUCAGAAGUAAGAAGCCUGCCAAACAAUUGGGACGGUCAGGGUGUUGAAGUAGCAUUCAAGAAAGACAAGGCUAUUCCGGAGAAGAUAACUGCAUGUUUUUGCAUUCGUCUUCACUGCAGAGGAUGUGAGGGAGAUUCUCACACCUGAACUCUUCUUUUUUAGGUUCUCAUUACCCAGCUGGGGGCUGUGGACUGUGUUUAACACAUCCUCAAUCUUAGUGGUCUCAUGACACGGUGUCCUUGCUAUGGAUUCCCAUCAGAUGGAACAAUUUAAUCUGUGAAGUCCCAAUAAGUUUUUGUGUGUGGAGGUGUCUGGGUAUUUUCUGUUGGCUGUCCAUCUAGAAUGUCUCCGAUUCUUGUCAGAUUCACUUCUGAAAAAGCCGUCUAGAAAAGGCAAAGCUUGAAUAUGGAUGUACGAUAAGCACCUAUUUUCCUUCUUACUUUUAGAACCACUUAAAUAUAUAAAUAAUGUAUCUCUAUUCAUUUGUUUUACAAGCAGUAGUGUUUUAAACUCUUUUUAUGGUUUGAUAUUGCAACAACAUGCUUUUUACUGGACAGGGCUAGAAACUGGAGUCCUAGAUGCUGGAACUAGGGGUGCUGCUGAAUCCCCUGGCUUGAAGUGGUUUCCAUCAUAUACCAGGUUUACAGUUUGGUUCAAUGGCUCUCAGCCCCCGCACUAUACAAAUUGUUCCAGCACCCCUGCCUGGAGUAUUUGUGAUCUGAUAUAUUAAGUGGUAUUACCCAGAGACUUCAGAGGAGUGGAUGUUUUCCAGCCUCCUAGACGAAUGCAGCAAAAACAUUUCAUAGAGUUAGCAGAUGUAUUGGGCUUAGGGAAGGGGUUGCAAAGACAUUUCGGUGUCUACAAGUUUCGAGUUAAAAUUCACAUGUUAAUGACAUUUUUUCACAGAUGCCUAUUUUCAGGUUCACAAUUUUUUAAAAAUCCCUUUUUUUUUCAAGUAGCUUUAUAUUAU